This 799-nucleotide ribosomal RNA is filed under the name Staphylococcus sp. RNAcentral's name for it is "bacterial SSU rRNA". It matches the Rfam family "Bacterial small subunit ribosomal RNA", at positions 46 to 827 of the family's 1533-position model. Lineage: Bacteria; Bacillati; Bacillota; Bacilli; Caryophanales; Staphylococcaceae. The record is from RNAcentral.
GCCUAAUACAUGCAAGUCGAGCGAACAGAUAAGGAGCUUGCUCCUUUGACGUUAGCGGCGGACGGGUGAGUAACACGUGGAUAACCUACCUAUAAGACUGGGAUAACUUCGGGAAACCGGAGCUAAUACCGGAUAACAUAUUGAACCGCAUGGUUCAAUAGUGAAAGGCGGCUUUGCUGUCACUUAUAGAUGGAUCCGCGCCGUAUUAGCUAGUUGGUAAGGUGACGGCUUACCAAGGCAACGAUACGUAGCCGACCUGAGAGGGUGAUCGGCCACACUGGAACUGAGACACGGUCCAGACUCCUACGGGAGGCAGCAGUAGGGAAUCUUCCGCAAUGGGCGAAAGCCUGACGGAGCAACGCCGCGUGAGUGAUGAAGGUCUUCGGAUCGUAAAACUCUGUUAUCAGGGAAGAACAAAUGUGUAAGUAACUGUGCACAUCUUGACGGUACCUGAUCAGAAAGCCACGGCUAACUACGUGCCAGCAGCCGCGGUAAUACGUAGGUGGCAAGCGUUAUCCGGAAUUAUUGGGCGUAAAGCGCGCGUAGGCGGUUUUUUAAGUCUGAUGUGAAAGCCCACGGCUCAACCGUGGAGGGUCAUUGGAAACUGGAAAACUUGAGUGCAGAAGAGGAAAGUGGAAUUCCAUGUGUAGCGGUGAAAUGCGCAGAGAUAUGGAGGAACACCAGUGGCGAAGGCGACUUUCUGGUCUGUAACUGACGCUGAUGUGCGAAAGCGUGGGGAUCAAACAGGAUUAGAUACCCUGGUAGUCCACGCCGUAAACGAUGAGUGCUAAGUGUUAGG